Homarus americanus (American lobster) is the source of this 2462-nucleotide long non-coding RNA. RefSeq lists it as uncharacterized. NCBI's taxonomy places the organism in Eukaryota, Metazoa, Arthropoda, Malacostraca, Decapoda, Nephropidae. The transcript is spliced from 4 exons. The record is from RefSeq and is a predicted model, not a curated record.
GAGUUGGAGGUGAGCGCCAUCUAUGAGUUAACAGCACUACUAAACCUUCAUCACAGGGUACAGGGGGAGAGUUGGAGGUGAGCGCCAUCUAUGAGUUAACAGCAGUACUAAACCUUCAUCACAGGGUACAGGGGGAGAGUUGGAGGUAAGCGCCAUCUAUGAGUUAACAGCACUACUAAACCUUCAUCACAGGGUACAGGGGGAGAGUUUCUCGUCUGGUGGUUCUUGGAUCCAUCACCAGCUGGAGCCACAAGACAGAGGAAGAAGAUGGAGGACGGACCAAGUGUACCUCGAUCUGACAGCCCCGAAAAUAUCGUCCUGAGGCAUCGGAAACUUCAAGGACCAACAACACACCUCCACGGCAAGUUCAGACUCCGUUAACGGAGAAACGCCGCCGACCCGCGAGAGGGGAGACCGACGUCGUCACUUCACGUCUCGUCGUCGGGUGCACAAGUCGAGUGUAUUAGAGGACUUGUAUUUAAGUGUACUUGUACAGUAAUCCUAUAAAAGUGGUCAUUUAUGUAAACGUUUGUGUUUAAUGUGACGUCCCAUUGGUGUCGGCGGUACGGGACCUCUCAAAACUAUGGCCCAGAUUCACAUUUUCCAUCCCAUACCAAAUUUUGAUUAUGUGUUUAUUUAGUUUUUCUUUAAAGUACAGUACAGUUUAUUAAUAACUUUAAGCUUCGUUUUUAAAGCAUAAUGUCAUUGUUUAUUAAUUAUGAUUCUUUACAAAUGUUGUACUACUUUUUAUACCUUUUUCUGCUUGUAUGUUUCAAUUCAGUUAAUGAAACUUUUAUUUGCAUAGUUUUGAAGAAGACUACAGUACUUAGUUUAAAUGUUUGCAUAUCAACAGUGCAGUACUUUAUCUUAAGUAAUAUUUUCAGGUACUUUCUCCAUCACUGCCUAAAGUGGACCUGAUGUGAACUAGAAUGAAGUUGGCUGGAGAUAAAGUGAACUGGACCUGCAGUGAAGUGGACCUGAAGUAGUCUGUGGUACUUUCUCCAUCACUGCCUAAAGUGGACCUGAUGUGAACUAGAAUGAAGUUGGCUGGAGAUAAAGUGAACUGGACCUGCAGUGAAGUGGACCUGAAGUAGUCUGUGUUGUGGACGAGCGAGCCGAUGCAAGUUAGAGACGGGAACGGAGACAGAUUCUACAGUCGGCGUCCGAGAGCGUUUCUGAGCCGAUUCGGACGAAGACCGUCGACCGAGGAUGAAGACGCCGCUCGACGCGCCACGAAGACACUCGUCAAUUGCGGACGAAGAUAUCGCCGGACGUGCGAGGAAGACACCGCGGAAUACGGGAAGAAUACACUCGUCGAUGCAGAAGAAGACGCGUGUCGAUAUUGUAUCGCGACUUAUGUUUUGUGCCAGUCCAGUUUGAAUGUUUUAAAGACGAAGUUAAUUUGUAAAAUUGAUGCCCGUUUUGUUUGUGUAGAGUAAUGACUUUUAUAAUGUUUGUAGUAUUGUUUUUACAUACCGACUUUGGAAGUCGAUACAUAGUGAGAAUGAAUUUAUUGAAGAUGUUUCCUGUGAUGACUAGGGGUUUGCAAUAAUUUGUUGACAAGAUGAUCAUUGUAGACAUUUAGCAAAUAGGUCGUAGCAUUUCGAAUGUCAUUUAAUGCGGAAUUCCGGCACGCAGGUCACCGGCGGCGGGAUACGUCCUCAAAUAAUUGAAGCGCAAAUAUGAGACGACGCUCGCAUUUUGAAAGUAAAAGAAGGGGCAGAUCGGACCGACAUAGAUGAAUAAGAUGGUGUUGUUGAGGUAACUGAUGACUAUUUUGUUGAGUUAUGAGAAGGGAGAAUUAGAAGAUAGUUGUUUAGGACUGACUAUUUAGAAAGAGAGAGAGUAAAGGAAAUAGAUUGAGGUAGUAGUUAUAUAUUAGUGAAGAUAUAAAGUAAAAGGCGAUAAGGACGGUGGGAGGGACAAGGAUCGAUAGAUUUUGCAGGGCACGAAAGGAAUCGGCGCGCUAUCGCUCGGUCGGCGCGGUGGCGUAAUUGUGAGAAAUGGAUGCGCUGGGGAUUUUGAAGAGGGAAGAAGUCGCGCGGUAGAGGACACGCGGGGAAAUCUGCGGAAGGGACGAGUCGAGGAUCGGCGGCACGGUCGCGGGAGACGAUCGAAUCGACGACGUCUUUGAACGACCGGACGCAGAAGGGGCGGCGACGACGAAUCGAGUAAAUGUCGGUUUAGGAGAGUAAUACGUAAAAGGGGGGGGGUGCAGGUAUUUGCGGAUAUAGACUACGGUCGAUCGCGGUCUGUUCACGGGACGGGAAAGAGGGGCGGAGGACGGACACGGAAUGCGGGGGAAGUACGGAGAGGGAGACGACGCGGGGUCACGAGGAAAGUAGGAGAAUAGACGUGAAUAAUAAUAAUAAUAAUAAUAAUAAUUAAUGGUUUAUUGAAAGAGGUUGGCAGCCAGAAGGUUGAAAAUAUACAGUUACAUAUUUGGGGAAUGGGUUUCGAAU